GUGUCAGCAGCCGCGGUAAUACGGGAGUGGCAAGCGUUAUCCGGAAUUAUUGGGCGUAAAGCGUCCGCAGGCGGUUUUACAAGUCUGUCGUUAAAGCGUGGAGCUCAACUCCAUUUCAGCGAUGGAAACUGUAAGACUCGAGUGUGGUAGGGGCAGAGGGAAUUCCCGGUGUAGCGGUGAAAUGCGUAGAUAUCGGGAAGAACACCAGUGGCGAAAGCGCUCUGCUGGGCCAUAACUGACGCUCAUGGACGAAAGCCAGGGGAGCGAAAGGGAUUAGAUACCCCUGUAGUCCUGGCCGUAAACGAUGAACACUAGGUGUCGGGGGAAUCGACCCCCUCGGUGUCGUAGCCAACGCGUUAAGUGUUCCGCCUGGGGAGUACGCACGCAAGUGUGAAACUUAAAUGAAUUGACGGGG
RNAcentral lists this ribosomal RNA (415 nucleotides) under uncultured prokaryote. Its description in RNAcentral is "bacterial SSU rRNA". It matches the Rfam family "Bacterial small subunit ribosomal RNA", at positions 505 to 918 of the family's 1533-position model. The record is from RNAcentral.